UCCCUCUGAGCUUCUCAACUGGAGAGUUUCCAGUACUCUACCAAUCUCAAUUAUGGGAGGGAGAGUCAAGCAGAGGUACAUCCAUUCCAUUCCUAGCUUGGGCAGUUGGCUAGCGAGUGGAAGGCAAUCUGCUACAAGU
Molecule: small nucleolar RNA, 139 nt
Organism: Tachyglossus aculeatus (Australian echidna)
Lineage: Eukaryota; Metazoa; Chordata; Mammalia; Monotremata; Tachyglossidae
Source: RefSeq, a predicted model, not a curated record